CCUACGGGAGGCAGCAGUGGGGAAUAUUGGGCAAUGGACGCAAGUCUGAUCCAGCAACGCCGCGUGAAGGAAGAAGGCUUUCGGGUUGUAAACCUCUGUUAAGGGGGAAGAGCAGAAGACGGUAUCCCUUGAAUAAGCCACGGCUAACUACGUGCCAGCAGCCGCGGUAAUACGUAGGUGGCAAGCGUUGUCCGGAUUUACUGGGUGUAAAGGGCGUGCAGCCGGAGGGACAAGUCGGAUGUGAAACCCGGAGGCGCAACCGGCGAACUGCAUUUGAAACUGUGUCCCUUGAGUGUCGGAGAGGUCAGCGGAAUUCCUAGUGUAGCGGUGAAAUGCGUAGAUAUUAGGAAGAACACCAGUGGCGAAGGCGGAUGACUGGACGGCAACUGACGGUGAGGCGCGAAAGCGUGGGGAGCAAACAGGAUUAGAUACCCGUGUAGUC
RNAcentral lists this ribosomal RNA (442 nucleotides) under uncultured bacterium. RNAcentral describes it as "partial 16S ribosomal RNA". It matches the Rfam family "Bacterial small subunit ribosomal RNA", at positions 338 to 795 of the family's 1533-position model. The record is from RNAcentral.